UUAGUACUCCCUCCGUCCGGAAAUACUUGUCGCGGAGAUGGAUGUAUCUAGACGUAUUUAAGUUCUAGAUACAUCUAUUUUUAUCCAUUUCUCUGACAUGUAUUUCCGGUCUGAGGGAGUACGAA
Molecule: non-coding RNA, 125 nt
Organism: Triticum aestivum (bread wheat)
Lineage: Eukaryota; Viridiplantae; Streptophyta; Magnoliopsida; Poales; Poaceae
Source: Rfam